GACGAACGCUGGCGGCGUGCCUAAUACAUGCAAGUCGAACGCUUCUUUCCUCCCGAGUGCUUGCACUCAAUUGGAAAGAGGAGUGGCGGACGGGUGAGUAACACGUGGGUAACCUACCCAUCAGAGGGGGAUAACACUUGGAAACAGGUGCUAAUACCGCAUAACAGUUUAUGCCGCAUGGCAUAAGAGUGAAAGGCGCUUUCGGGUGUCGUUGAUGGAUGGACCCGCGGUGCAUUAGCUAGUUGGUGAGGUAACGGCUCACCAAGGCCACGAUGCAUAGCCGACCUGAGAGGGUGAUCGGCCACACUGGGACUGAGACACGGCCCAGACUCCUACGGGAGGCAGCAGUAGGGAAUCUUUGGCAAUGGACGAAAGUCUGACCGAGCAACGCCGCGUGAGUGAAGAAGGUUUUCGGAUCGUAAAACUCUGUUGUUAGAGAAGAACAAGGACGUUAGUAACUGAACGUCCCCUGACGGUAUCUAACCAGAAAGCCACGGCUAACUACGUG
RNAcentral lists this ribosomal RNA (508 nucleotides) under uncultured bacterium. RNAcentral's name for it is "partial 16S ribosomal RNA". It matches the Rfam family "Bacterial small subunit ribosomal RNA", at positions 28 to 507 of the family's 1533-position model. The record is from RNAcentral.